Molecule: long non-coding RNA, 1024 nt
Organism: Daucus carota subsp. sativus
Lineage: Eukaryota; Viridiplantae; Streptophyta; Magnoliopsida; Apiales; Apiaceae
Exons: 3
Source: RefSeq, a predicted model, not a curated record
UUUAUCGUUUCAUAAUUAGAAUAAUUAUUUUUAGGAAUUUACAAAAUUGUCAAAAUAUUAUUUUGAUAAAAAUCUGAUUUUAAAAUAUUUUCCAAGUCCAUUUAACUUCUAAAUCGCUUAUAAAUUUCAAUAAUGCUCCAUAAAUCCUGAGACUUUUAUUUUAUUCGUUUUAUAAUAUUCCGGGAUUUAUAAAAAUAUUUCAGUAACUUUUCGAAGAUAUUUUGUUACAAGUUAUUCCGAUAAUCGAUUAAAAGCAGGCUUAGAUUAGUGAUUAUUCAGCAUAAACGAGACACGUGGCAAGCCAGAGCUGCAGCACGUGCCCUGUACCACCGCCAUUCUUUUCUUUUAAUUCCAGUUCUCCCCUUUCCCUUUUAUUUCCAUGUUAAUCUCUCCUCACCCCCUCUGCUAAUCUCUCACACUCUCUCCCGUACAUAUCUCCUCCAUUCCUCUUCCACCUUUGUUCCCCGUUCUUUUCUUUUCCCCCGAAACCCGCCGCCGCAGCUGUUCAAACUCCGGCCAGUUGCCGGCACCACCACUGUGUUGUUUCUUCUGAUUAAUUCACCCGCGAUUCUUCGAGUUCCUAGGCAAUCCAGACGCAGGCUUGCUGUUUUCGGACGAAUCCAGCCCUGUUCUUCAGCCUCCAGUGUUGUGUUAGCGCGGUUCCGGUUAGAGAGCCUAACAGUAUAGUGCAGUCUUAUCUCUAGCAUUCUAUUAUCAAGAUGCCAAGGAUUAGAGCAGCUGCUUAUAAGGUUUCCCAGAGUUAUCUUUUGUGCUAGGAAAAUCGCAGGAUGAUGCUAGGAGUCUUGGACUAAGUGUGGAUUAGUUAGUACGACUUGUUUCUUUGAAGUUGUAUUAUAGUGUCAGUAUGGUUGUAGUGGAAAACUCAUGUAGUAAGGAACCUAUGUCGUCGUUCGUUUGCAGUAACAGUUUAAACCUUUCGCAGACUUAAACCUGGCAAGAUCUUUGGUCAGGGGUGUAAUGGUAAAUAUUUAUUAUGUUAAUCUAUUCAGCUGUCAUUAGUUUA